GUCCCAGACUCCUACGGGAGGCAGCAGUGGGGAAUAUUGCACAAUGGGGGGAACCCUGAUGCAGCGACGCCGCGUGGGUGAAGGAGCACCUCGGUGCGUAAAGCCCUAUCGGCAGGGAAGAAACAGACGGUACCUGACUAAGAAGCCCCGGCUAACUACGUGCCAGCAGCCGCGGUAAUACGUGGGGGGCAAGCGUUAUCCGGAUUCACUGGGUGUAAAGGGAGCGUAGACGGCGACGCAAGUCUGGAGUGAAAGCCCGGGGCUCAACCCCGGGACUGCAUUUGGAACUGUAAGGCUAGAGUGUCGGAGAGGCAGGCGGAAUUCCUAGUGUAGCGGUGAAAUGCGUAGAUAUUAGGAAGAACACCAGUGGCGAAGGCGGCUUUCUGGACUGAAGCUGACGCUGAGGCACGAAAGCGUGGGGAGCGAACAGGAUUAGAUACCCCAGUAU
Molecule: ribosomal RNA, 448 nt
Filed under: uncultured bacterium
Lineage: Bacteria
Description: bacterial SSU rRNA
Rfam family: Bacterial small subunit ribosomal RNA
Source: RNAcentral